This 598-nucleotide ribosomal RNA is filed under the name Auricularia auricula-judae (jelly ear fungus). RNAcentral's name for it is "eukaryotic LSU rRNA". The stretch from base 188 to 341 matches the Rfam family "5.8S ribosomal RNA". The record is from RNAcentral. Lineage: Eukaryota; Fungi; Basidiomycota; Agaricomycetes; Auriculariales; Auriculariaceae.
UCCGUAGGUGAACCUGCGGAAGGAUCAUUAAAGAUUCUAAGGCUUCGGUCUUAAUUUCGGCUGUGCGCUCAGGCUGCACGCCGAUAACCUCUCACACCUGUGCACCUUUUCGGUUGCGGUUUCGGCCGCUUCCGCUUUUACAUGCAACCACGAAAAGUCUAGAAUGUGACGAGAACUAUAAAGUAACAACUUUCAACAACGGAUCUCUUGGCUCUCGCAUCGAUGAAGAACGCAGCGAAAUGCGAUAAGUAAUGUGAAUUGCAGAAUUCAGUGAAUCAUCGAAUCUUUGAACGCACCUUGCGCUCCUUGGUAUUCCAUGGAGCAUGCCUGUUUGGGUGUCACGUAAACCCUCACCCCUGCGAUGUAACAGUCGCCUGCGGUGGACUUGGACCGUGCCGGUAAUCGGCUCGUCUUGAAAUGCAUUAGCUGGCGCUUUUAGAGUGCUGGGCGAACGGUGUGAUAAUUAUCUGCGCCGACUGCCCUGGGCCUCUUCAGCGGCGCUGCUUACAGCCGUCCCUUGUGGACAACUAUUUUAAAGCUUUGGCCUCAAAUCAGGUAGGACUACCCGCUGAACUUAAGCAUAUCAAUAAGCGGAGGA